AUUGAACGCUGGCGGCAUGCUUUACACAUGCAAGUCGAACGGCAGCGCGGGCUUCGGCCUGGCGGCGAGUGGCGAACGGGCGAGUAAUGCAUCGGAACGUGCCCAGUAGUGGGGGAUAGCCCGGCGAAAGCCGGAUUAAUACCGCAUACGACCUGAGGGUGAAAGCGGGGGACCGAAAGGCCUCGCGCUAUUGGAGCGGCCGAUGUCGGAUUAGCUAGUUGGUGGGGUAAAGGCUUACCAAGGCGACGAUCCGUAGCUGGUCUGAGAGGACGACCAGCCACACUGGGACUGAGACACGGCCCAGACUCCUACGGGAGGCAGCAGUGGGGAAUUUUGGACAAUGGGGGCAAUCCUGAUCCAGCCAUGCCGCGUGCGGGAAGAAGGCCUUCGGGUUGUAAACCGCUUUUGUUCGGGAAGAAAUCCUCUGGGCUAAUACCCCGGGGGGAUGACGGUACCGGAAGAAUAAGCACCGGCUAACUACGUG
This 484-nucleotide ribosomal RNA is filed under the name uncultured bacterium. RNAcentral describes it as "partial 16S ribosomal RNA". It matches the Rfam family "Bacterial small subunit ribosomal RNA", at positions 28 to 507 of the family's 1533-position model. The record is from RNAcentral.